CCUACGGGGGGCAGCAGUGAGGAAUAUUGGUCAAUGGACGAGAGUCUGAACCAGCCAAGUAGCGUGAAGGAUGACUGCCCUAUGGGUUGUAAACAUCUUUUAUAAAGGAAUAAAACGAGGCACGUGUGCCUUUUUGCAUGUACUUUAUGAAUAAGGAUCGGCUAACUCCGUGCCAGCAGCCGCGGUAAUACGGAGGAUCCGAGCGUUAUCCGGAUUUAUUGGGUUUAAAGGGAGCGUAGAUGGGUUGUUAAGUCAGUUGUGAAAUUUUGCGGCUCAACCGUAAAAUUGCAAUUGAUACUGGCAGUCUUGAGUACAGUUGAGGUAGGCAGAAUUCGUGGUGUAGCGGUGAAAUGCGUAGAGAUCACGAAGAACCCCGAUUGCGAAGGCAGCUUACUAAACUGUGACUGACAUUGAGGCGCGAAAGUGUGGGUAUCAAACAGGAUUAGAUACCCCUGUAGUC
Molecule: ribosomal RNA, 460 nt
Filed under: uncultured bacterium
Lineage: Bacteria
Description: partial 16S ribosomal RNA
Rfam family: Bacterial small subunit ribosomal RNA
Source: RNAcentral